RNAcentral lists this ribosomal RNA (481 nucleotides) under uncultured bacterium. RNAcentral describes it as "partial 16S ribosomal RNA". It matches the Rfam family "Bacterial small subunit ribosomal RNA", at positions 28 to 507 of the family's 1533-position model. The record is from RNAcentral.
GACGAACGUUGGCGGCGUGCUUAAUACAUGCAAGUCCACUGAAGCAGUGGUAGCAAUAUCGCUGUGGAGGUGGCGCACGGGUGAGUAACACGUAGGUAAUCUGCCUUCAGGUCUGGCAUAACUCCGGGAAACCGGGGCUAAUAGCAGAUGAUGCAGCGGCUCGACAUCGAGACAGUUGUUAAAGCUAUGGCGCCUGAAGAUGAGCCUGCGUCUGAUUAGCUAGUUGGCGGGGUAACGUCCCACCAAGGCAACGAUCAGUAGCUGGUCUGAGAGGAUGAUCAGCAACACUGGAACUGAGACACGGUCCAGACUCCUACGGGAGGCAGCAGUAAGGAAUAUUGCUCAAUGGGAGAAAUCCUGAAGCAGCAACGACGCGUGAGGGACGAAGGGCUUUUGCUUGUAAACCUCUGUAGUGAGAGAAAAAAAUCCCAAUCUUUGGGACAUGAUGGUAUCUCAAAAGUAAGCCCCGGCUAACUACGUG